GGUAAAAGAAUGGCAUUCGCAGGGGAAUGGUCAGAUCUUGAACAAAUAAUGUUGAGCGAGACAAGCCUAGAACACAGAGGACAACGGCGCAUGGUCUCCCUGAUAGGUGAGUGUUAGAGGAGAAUCU
Perognathus longimembris pacificus (Pacific pocket mouse) is the source of this 127-nucleotide long non-coding RNA. RefSeq lists it as uncharacterized. Lineage: Eukaryota; Metazoa; Chordata; Mammalia; Rodentia; Heteromyidae. The transcript is spliced from 3 exons. The record is from RefSeq and is a predicted model, not a curated record.